Molecule: transfer RNA, 48 nt
Filed under: Dipodomys stephensi (Stephens's kangaroo rat)
Lineage: Eukaryota; Metazoa; Chordata; Mammalia; Rodentia; Heteromyidae
Description: partial tRNA-Phe
Source: RNAcentral
GUUAAUGUAGCUUAUUUAUAAAGCAAGGCACUGAAAAUGCCUAGAAGA